AUUGAACGCUGGCGGAAUGCUUUACACAUGCAAGUCGAACGACAGCACGGGGGCAACCCGGGUGGCGAGUGGCGAACGGGUGAGUAAUACAUCGGAACGUGCCCAGUCGUGGGGGAUAACGUAGCGAAAGUUACGCUAAUACCGCAUACGAUCUACGGAUGAAAGCGGGGGACCGUAAGGCCUCGCGAGAUUGGAGCCGCCGAUGUCAGAUUAGGUAGCUGGUGAGGUAAAGGCUCACCAAGCCGACGAUCUGUAGCUGGUCUGAGAGGACGACCAGCCACGCUGGGAGUGAGACACGGGCCAGACUGAUCCGGGAGGCAGCAGUGGGGAAUUUUGGACAAUGGGCGCAAGCCUGAUCCAGCCAUUCCGCGUGCAAGACGAAGGCCUUCGGGUUGUAAACUGCUUUUGUACGGAACGAAAAGGCUCUGGUGAAUGCCUGGGGCUCAUGACGGUACCGUAAGAAUAAGCACCGGUUAACUACCUGCCAGCCGCCGAGGUAA
Molecule: ribosomal RNA, 500 nt
Filed under: uncultured bacterium
Lineage: Bacteria
Description: partial 16S ribosomal RNA
Rfam family: Bacterial small subunit ribosomal RNA
Source: RNAcentral